This 603-nucleotide long non-coding RNA is filed under the name Brassica napus (rape). RNAcentral describes it as "long non-coding RNA (BNAP_LNC022008)". Lineage: Eukaryota; Viridiplantae; Streptophyta; Magnoliopsida; Brassicales; Brassicaceae. The record is from RNAcentral.
GUGUACUGGUCUUUAGUUUUAGGUUGGUUUGCUAUUUGAAUCUGAGACCUUGUCGGAUUUGGACUGCUUUGAGAGGUUGUCGGGUUUGCUCAUCACUUUCUCUCCUUGCUUGGGAUAUUUCUUCAGCUUCGAAUCUGUUUUCUGGUGCGCGGUAUGCAGGUCUAAACCGCCUAUAAUGUGGGUGGCUACUUCUUCCAUCAGAUUUGGUGAAAUAUUCUUCAUAAGGUUUCGGUGAUGUAGUGUUUUCGAAGGCCUUCUCUUUGUCCCUUGACGUCCUUGUCUACGAUUAUCUUAGCUUUGGCUUGUGUUCUAACGUUUGAUUGUUAACAAGAUUUCUUUGACUUUCUGGAGUGUGGUGGUCUUAAGCAUUGAUGGCUAGUGUCUUCAUAGUGCCUUCGGUUAGGAUCCCCUUGCCUUCAUCUAUGGUAUUGACAUCUAUCCUCUGUGGCGUCAUGUUGCUUACCGGGAUUCGUAUGCGGUAAGGCCUUGCUCGACCUGUGGUUUAUUGGAGUAUUGUCUUUGUGAAGCAAUGAUGCUGUGAAGUUGUGAUGUUCCUUGGUUUUUAACUGACGGGUUCUCCGGAUUUCUUGGUAAGGAAUUGGG